CUUUAAAGACUGUUGCAGGUUUGCUCACACAGACACAGAUGAUCAUCCCUUGGUGAAUAACUCCCUACAGUACAUCCUGGAGAGUGCUCCGCAUAUUACUGCGAGCUAAAUAAGCACUAUGGACCCAGGGACCGCCACCCCAGAAACACCAGUAUGAAAAAGAGUGAGACUCACAUAGGCUGCAGUGCUGAGCUGAGGCAUGUGAAAGAUCCUGAGGAUGCAGGAAGCUGUACCAAGAUUGGGACCGCAGAGUCUCCACAUUUAGUCCCAAAUAAACAUUCACACUGAAAGUUGGAAAAAGAUGAA
Long non-coding RNA from Ctenopharyngodon idella (grass carp), 306 nucleotides. RefSeq lists it as uncharacterized. The transcript is spliced from 3 exons. NCBI's taxonomy places the organism in Eukaryota, Metazoa, Chordata, Actinopteri, Cypriniformes, Xenocyprididae. The record is from RefSeq and is a predicted model, not a curated record.